Long non-coding RNA from Manis javanica (Malayan pangolin), 7040 nucleotides. RefSeq lists it as uncharacterized. NCBI's taxonomy places the organism in Eukaryota, Metazoa, Chordata, Mammalia, Pholidota, Manidae. The record is from RefSeq and is a predicted model, not a curated record.
AAAGACGAGCUGAAGACUACGCAAAAACAAAAGCCGUCUCCGGAUUCCAAAGUUCAGAGUCUCCAGGAAAGACGCAUCUGCGGGCUGCGGGCGGGCGGUAGGGGAGGCAUCUGCUGCAUCUCGGCCACGGGAGACCCGAGCCCAGGGGCCCAGGGCAGCAGGUGCGCCGCGCCCCCGCCGAGGCCAGCGUGCCCGGCCUCUCCCGGCCCGGGCCUCCGCGGCGCGCUGGAGAGCGGGCUUCUGCGGCCGGCUCCGGAGGCUGGUGGCGGGGCGUGGACCCCCGCCCCUCCCAGGCCCGCCGUCCGCCCGCGACCUCGGCGCUCCUCAGGCCCGGCUCUCCUAACUAGCGCAGAAGAGUGAAAACCCGCCGUGUGAAACUUGACAAUUUAUUCCGGGCCCGGGGGAGGUCACCCGCAGUGCACACGCGGAUUGGCUGCGGCGCGCGCCCGGGCGUGCCGGCGCGGGGGCUGGCGGCCGCGGAUGCUCAGUGCGCGCUGGUGCUGACGACGCGGCAUCGCGGCCGCCCGGGGCCCGGCAGGCGCCGGGCGCGGGUGUCAGGGCAGCGCUGAGGCUGGGCGCAGCGUGACAGGGCAGCGGUCGGUGCCUGGAACGACAGAAGGGCCCCACCCAUCCAGACUGGGUGGUUUGGAAGAAACACUCCUUGCUGUUGGGUUUCAGACGUCACAGUCUCUAUUUGAAUCUUCCAGUUGACAUGGGCUCAAGCCAUUUACAACCAGCAGAUGUUCAGAAUGAAGGGUCUACUCUCACUUCAUGGUACAGAGAAGGAAAUUGAAGAUGGAAGGAAGAUGGAAGGCUUGUGAAGGCUGAUUAUGAAUCAUGUUUGAAGAGGAAAGAAAUGGUGGCUCAGGGGCAGGUUCUUGCCCAGUUCCCACUCCAGCCAAUCUGCCAACUAAAUGGGUCCAAAAACCUCUUCUCAACAAAGUGACAAAUGAGGCCCUAAUUCAUUGGCACUGUGAAUUCAAUCACUUAGCAUGAAUGGAGAAAGCCCUACACGAUGGAUUCCAGCACAUUAAAUAGCUUGACUCACGUCAGGAGAAAACAGGCAGUCGGCCACUGGAAGAAAAACUUGAAAAAAUGGUUUAUUAAUUGUACUAGUCUGCCUUAUCCCUGGACACUUGAAACUUAGUGUACAACACUUGUGAAGACGUGAUGGAAUGUUUCAUCAGUAAAUAUGUGAACAAGACCUCUAAUCCUAUUUCUGAUAAGCUAAGGCAAAGAAGAAAACACACGACAGCACCAGUUUUUUAUCAGCAAAUUGCUUAGGAAAAAGAAUUCCACUGUCUCAAGAAAAAAGAAACUCUUUAAGAGAUGAGCUAUUCAUCUCAAUUUCAUCUGGAUUAUUACUUGAAAAGAUGAAUAUUGGGUAAUGUAACAUAUAUCAGUAUCGCACAGUGAGAAAGAAACUUGCGAAAAUGUUUCUAAAAUUUUUCUCCCCUUUCUUUUUUAUUUUUUCAGAAAAGGAAGUAUUCUUUAGGAGUCUAAAAUGUGUUAGUUUGUUUUUAGCUAGCAACAUCCUUGACCACAUAAGUACACAGGGGAAAAAAACUUACUGCCUGGUAUGUCUUAAUAAAACAGAGAAGCUCUAUUUAAAAAAUUGAAUCAAGCUAAUCAUGGCCAGCUGAAGAUGAGAACAAUUUGGGUAAGUCUGAGUGUGGAAUGACCUUAGUUCUUAACUCCAGCAGAAACUGGGAAAAGGAAUGAAGAAGCAGAUUCUGUUUUUUAUCUUACAAUGAACUCAAUGGCAAAUCUGGAAGUAGCUUAAUUUUUCAGCACUUUAGUUUUCUAGCUUUAUAGUUGGAAGAAGAAGGAGUACCUCAGCCAGUAGAGCGUAAGGACACUUGGUUUCCAGUGCCAUCUUCUCAGGUCACUUCAUGUGCCAAAGGGAGAGACUUGGGCCAGCAAAUGUGCAGCCUUCCCACUUCCUCUCCUGCCAACCCAGGGCAGCCAUCACUAAUCAGUCUGGCCUUUUAUUCCUCUCUGGCCCAGAAUUCUCAAUACAAUAUUCCUAAUGGACUAGAAAUAGCAUGACAAUUGAAACCUACCUGCCAGCCCUAGACUAGAUGAGCUUUAAGGUCUUUUUUUAGUCUUAAAUUUCUAGGAUUUCUUCAUAAAUAUUUUCAGCCCUUUUAGGACAAAACACAAACGGACAAAAUGUUUUCUGAGCUCAACACAGAGGGGAAACAAUGAAAAAGAUGGCUGUUGUGUUCAUGGCUGUCCAUGAUGGGAGAAACAGAAAACAAGGAUGGCUAUACUUGAGUCUGCAGAGUCAAAAACACUUGUAUGCCUUUGAAAUAAGCCCCUAGUUCUCACCGCAGCUGUGGCUGCACAUCAACUACCUAUCAACCUUGUUGAUAAGCCCAAAGCUCCAAUAGACUCAGACACAAGUCAAUAUCAAUUUACCAAUUAGACAGCUAGAUUGGCAAUAGGUAAUGUGUUGUAUCACUUAUCUUUCUUGCCUGGAACGAAAAAGGAUUUAAGGUAGCUUUUCAAGGUAUUUAAAAGAAAAACCUUCUAAAAAUUAUUUGUAGAUGAGGAAAAAGAAACAGUGGGUAUACAUCGUUGAGACAAGAAUGAAUCCUGUCUGCCAGUUAUGGGCUACUGAUUUACAACAGCGGGCCACAGAGCUGCUCUAGGCUGCUGGUGGCCAUUGCGAAGUUACCCAGCUCAUGGGGGCCACAAGACAAAAGGGUAAAGCAACUGUUCAGAAGAAUUUCAACUAUUGCUGGCUCUACAACAGUCUUAUUUCUCCUGAGGGUCUACAGAAAGAAAAUGGCAUACAAGAUGUCAACUGAGUCUUCAACGAGAACAGCUGCAGAAAGUACUUGGGGAGAGCAGCGCGUCAUGAGGGUGUGUUAUCUACAGACCACGCUGAUAGCACAGCUUAGACACUGGACAUCACCGGGUUAUAAAGGAGCCAGCUGACAUUUUAUAGUAUGUACCAACUCUUCCAAGAACCAUUUGUCACUCUUCAAGGUUUCCACUGGUAAAACCAAGAUGUCUAAAAAUUUGUCAACAACCACAGAAAGUAACCCUGAGGUCAUGUCAGAGGGUGACAAAGAAUGUGCUUACUUGACAUUCUACAAACAUGCAAAUGGAACACUGGCCGUGACAGUGUUUCAAAGGGCUCUCCAGGUUGCAGAGUGCCAGAUCAGCUUUGGUAUGACUGCUGUGGAUGUGGACAUCGAGAUGGUGUAUUCCAGGAGCAGUGCAAGACAACCAUGUGAAUACAGACCUGGCCUGUGAGGCAAUCCCCGGGUCCCCAGCCCUGCCUACUUCAGACCACUGGUGUGGAGUCUGAGGAAUUAAGCAAGUGAAUUUUUUCCAGGCUGACUGCAAUUGCCCUGGCUCUCUCUGUUUUAAAAGGUUCAAUUUAAAUAACUCUUUUCAGAAAUAAUAAAACCAUCAAGAAAAAACAGUAUUAAUAACAACUAACAGUUCCAUAGGCCAGGUACUGUUGUAAGAGCUUUCCGUGCAUCAUGCACCUCCUCACAUCUGAUGAGACAGGUACUCACAUUAUCCCCACUUUGCAGAUUAAAACCUGAGACAUAGAAGAGUUAACUGCUCAAGGUCACACAGUGAGUAAGAGGAAAGUGAGGAUUCAAACUCAGGCAGGCCAGCUUCAGAGCUACCACAAGAACUCCUCCUUGGCCCCCCAAAACUGUCUCCUCAAGAAAGAUACUGUUGGAAACUAAGUUAGAAUAUGUGGAAAGAAAUGAUCAAAGCAACUCAUUCAGAACUAUGUAGGGAUCAAAAAUAAAGAGGAAGAACAAAAGGGCCACCUCCGUCCUGAAGGCUGACUCAGUUUACACAGCAUGCAUUUCCUAAGCACCUCUGUCUCCAGGCACUGUGCGUGGCUGCGGGUACAAAAAUGAGUAAGAAAGAGCUGAGAAAGCCAGGCUAGGGGCUGUACUCCAAUGGGGGUCCUCCACCCUGGAAGGCCAUACCAUUGUUACCAUUGGUUUGGCUUCUUCAGACAUGCGAGAACAUCUUUUACCUAAGAAAUAUAAUUGGGGUGGGGCAUGCUGUGGGGCAUAAAUGGCAGAGGAGCAUCCUCCCCACUGUUCUCAGGCCAAUGGAAAACAUCACAAGAUAGAGCUUUGAACAAAAAUGAGUUGCUGAGCCUUCAGGCUGACACUGACGCCUCUUUACAUGAUUGCUGCUGGCCAUUUUGGGGCUCCUGCUGGCACUUUCUGCUGCCCAGAAGAGAGCAGAAUAAGCCUAAUUAGAAAGUCACAUGUGCUCCCAGAGCUUUAACAGUGUCACACUGGCUGGCUGUUACUAUCUCUUAGAAUCCCUGGUGCUGGAGCAGAGAGGAAUAACUGGAGAUAAUUUAAUUCAACCUCCUGGGUUCAGCCUCAAUGGAUCCAAAAAGAAGGGUCCCCGAAGUUUCAGUGGCUUGCCCAAGGCCGAUCAGCCAGAGCAUGGCAGAACCAGGACUGGACUCACAUCUGAGAACUCCCGGUGUAACUAUCUUUCUACAGCCCCGUAUAGCUGUCAUGGAAUAAAUGUAGUACUAUGAAUCAGUAAAUUCAAUCAAGUCAAAUGCGUGUUUUGAAAAGUGAAGAAUGAAGAAAUAGAGUUUGAAGAACAUUCAACAUUCAUGAGAUGUGCCCAUUUCAGGUCACUGGAGAUGUUUCUCUGGUGCAAAGGUUUUCUUAAUAAGGGGUUUCAUUGGCCAGUUGGAUCGAGACAUGCACACACUAAUAUUAUUUUGCUUCUGGCAAUACCUUAAACCCCCAGUUAGGCAAGUCUAAAAAGCAGCAAUGGCCUUGAGAGUGCAGCAUGGUUUAUACAUGGCAUACACAUCUUUGAGGAUUUGGAGAAAUCUACAAGGGAUCCAAUGCUUUUCCACCUAUUGACAUUUACAAAGCAGUUUAAAUCAUGCAUGAGGGGCCUCAGGCACAUGCAGUUCACAAAACAUAACUCUGAGCUCCCAGGGAAUUUAAGCUGACCAACACUCUUUAUUAGAACUGACAGUGAAAGACAGCUAUUGCGAAAUUCGUACCAGAAAUGCAAUACCAAGAUGACAGCCUUAAUGCCAGCGGAUAUAUUAUGUAGAUUACCCGACUCAAAUCUUUCUUGUUAAAUAAGUUUCAUGCGUUCUUUUUUUUCCCUCAAGAACAUCCUUCUGGCUUCACAGGGGGAGCAUUCCUUAAAUUCCUUGAUCAUUCAUCUGUUUUUCAAAAAUUUUGGACAUGAUAGGUUAGCACAGGAGAUCAGAUAGAGAUAUUUAAACAGUGGGAAAUAGUUAAACUUUAAGUGAGCAACAGAGCUGAACCACAAAUUAAAAAUCUCAAUGUUAUCUUUGUAUAAUGUUCCAAUAUUUAAUAAUAUUUAAGAAGAAACAUUUUUCUAUGGCUGAUUCAUUCUAGAUAUCCAAUCCCCAUGUAAUCUAAGAUUUUAAGUGUGUGUAAUUAUAAAUUCAGAAUAAUUUCACCUGCAUGCUUUUCUAGGCCAAGACUUUCAAGGAAAUAAGGUCCCAAUCAAAACUUCAAAACUGGCUAGGGACAAAAGACAGCAAAUAUGCUUUUCCCUUCCAAUCGUCAUAGAAGCCAAAAUAUAAUGCAGAUGUUUUAAAUUCUAAUUGGGGAGGAGACAGAAGGAAUGGGUCAACAUGACUGAGGUCAGACAGACAAGGAAGUUGUUGGCAAUUUGGCAUGGGUGACAGUGGCCAAGGGCAAAUCUGGCAGAGGCUGAAUUAAAGUAAAAUUGCUAUUACUUGGAGGCUUGUAAGUUUCUGAAUGGGCUAGGUUACUUGCUUCCUAUUCUAGAAUUUCCAACCUGCAUCAACCUUACAUACUCUGGGUUAACUGUUACCACUGCUGGAGUGGCAGCAUCACCUUCCUCCGUGGGGCACUGUCUUUUCUAAGCAAUGAGGGAACAGCACCUUCCUAGAGACGUGCUUCUGCAGCCAAGGGUCACAUCACUUGCAAUGCACUCAAUGGUUGUGUGCACAGUAUGUACCAAGCUGCCUUAAACUUGCUUCUCUAUUGUAUUCUAAUAUUUACAGCAAAGAAAUUCCAGGAUCCAUGAGCACAAAGCUCUGUCUCCAGUCUCAAUAAGUUAGACACUACUUUCACAUAACGACUGUUUUUUUCAAACAUAUAGAGAUGCUUCAGUGAUUAAAAAUACAUUUUCUUUUUAAAAGCACAGCUAAAUUCACAGUAACUUUUCAUUCCUUGUGCAUUUUCUUAAUGGGCAAUUUCAAACAUGUAUUAGAGGAGAAAGAACUGUAUAAUAAACCCUAAUUUAUCAUCACCCAGCUUUAACAAUGAUCAACUCAUGGUCAGCCUUGUUCCUUAUAUACCGUACUCAUCCCUACUACUUGCACCUUUCCAGAUAAUUUUAAAACAACCCCAGACAUUAUAUCAUUUUACUGACAUGUAUUUCAGUACCUGCAUUUUAUAUUUUUAGAAUUACAAGAUGGUAAUAGGAAUCUCAUUCUUUUUAAUUUUUAACAAUGAAAUUAUCCUCAUGUUCAAAACAAACUGAAGAACUAUUUUUCUAGAUGCUUCCAUGGAUCUCAAUCAUUUAUUCACAUACAAGAGCAGAGAAUUUCUAAUUUCCAUAUAACCAUUAGGGACUAACAAGACAUGCAUAGCUUGUGUUUCAUGAAUGAUUUUCAAAUGAUUUCCUGAAUGAUACCCACUAUAUAUGCAAACGUAAAUUUGCUGCAUUAUUAUAAUCAAAGCCCAAGAGUGAAUAUAUUAAUAGAGUAAGCUUGAAAUAAAAUCUCCUUAAAAGGGUUACUGUUCAUGUUAAAUAAGAGAUACAUCAUGUAUCCUGUAAUCUAAGUAGCAAACACAAUUGCACACCCCACAGGCAAGACACAGUCUUUCAAAGGAUGAUAAUAAAGAAGCUGCAGAUAUAUUUUUAUGUGCUGGGUAUAAAAAACACAAUCGUGAAUAAUCACUUGAGCAUCCAAGAUCAUGUGCGAUCCACAAGUGACCCUUAAGACCCUGAGUGUGAAGAAAAUUGAAGCAGUCUGAUACCCUACAAUCAUCUAAAUAAACUUUCAA